RNAcentral lists this ribosomal RNA (433 nucleotides) under uncultured microorganism. Its description in RNAcentral is "bacterial SSU rRNA". It matches the Rfam family "Bacterial small subunit ribosomal RNA", at positions 346 to 795 of the family's 1533-position model. The record is from RNAcentral.
GGGCUGCAGCAAGGAAUAUUGGGCAAUGGGCGAAAGCCUGACCCAGCGACAUCGCGUGAAGGAAGAAGGCCUUCGGGUUGUAAACUUCUUUUUCCGGGGAAGAAUAAUGACGGUACCCGGAGAAUAAGUCUCGGCUAACUACGUGCCAGCAGCCGCGGUAAUACGUAGGAGGCGAGCGUUAUCCGGAUUUACUGGGCGUAAAGCGGGCGUAGGUGGCCUAUCAAGUCGGAUGUGAAAUCUCCCGGCUUAACUGGGAGGGUGCAUCGGAAACUGAUGAGCUAGAGUGCAGCAGAGGGAAGUGGAAUUCCCGGUGUAGUGGUGAAAUGCGUAGAUAUCGGGAGGAACACUAGUGGCGAAGGCGGCUUCCUGGGCUGUUACUGACACUGAGGCCCUAAGGCGUGGGGAGCAAACAGGAUUAGAUACCCGUGUAGUC